Molecule: ribosomal RNA, 424 nt
Filed under: uncultured bacterium
Lineage: Bacteria
Description: partial 16S ribosomal RNA
Rfam family: Bacterial small subunit ribosomal RNA
Source: RNAcentral
AAUUUUGGACAAUGGGGGAAACCCUGAUCCAGCCAUCCCGCGUGUAUGAUGAAGGCCUNCGGGUUNUNAAGUACUUUUGGCAGCGNCGAAACGCUCUCCCCUAAUACGGGAUACUGCUGACGGUAUCUGCAGAAUAAUCACCGGCUACCUACGUGCCAGCAGCCGCGGUAAUACGUAGGGUGCAAGCGUUAAUCGGAAUUACUGGGCGUAAAGGGUAUGUAGGCGGUUCGGAAAGAAAGCUGUGAAAUCCCAGGGCGCAACCUUGGAACUGCAUUUUUAACUGCCGAGCUAGAGUAUGUCAGAGGGGGGUAGAAUUCCACGUGUAGCAGUGAAAUGCGUAGAUAUGUGGAGGAAUACCGAUGGCGAAGGCAGCACCCUGGGAUAAUACUGACGCUAAGACACGAAAGCGUGGGGAGCAAACAGG